CACAGCUUCAAUAAUAAAACAAAACAUAUAAAUUAUAAAAAGGUCAUUGUCAACAUCCUUAAACAUUGCAUAUCAACCCCCAAAUCCUUUAACAAUUCUACCCCAGACAAGGACCCACAUAAACAAUUCAUGAUACCACAUUCUAACAUAUAAUUUAACAUAUAACCACCGAGGGCAUGAUUUACCAUAUUCCACAAUGUAGGGGUAUACCUGAGAUACACCUUACAUACACCAGGUUCGGAGCUAUCCACGAGCUUGAACCAACCACCAUAUUCCACAAUGUAGGGGUAUACCAAGAUACACCCUACACACACCAGGUUCGGAGCUACCAAUGAGCUUGAACCAAUCAAUACCCUUCCAAACCUAACUGUUCUUAGCGAGCUAAACUCUCUUAGAACUGGACAAACGACCUACACCCCAACUUGUCUAUCCAUCCCCUGCCGCCAUGACCAAACAGGAGCUAGAACCAUAAAAAAGGGAGGGUGGGACAAAACAGUUAAGUGAGGAUUAAAUUAAGAUGGCCACUGAUCUAAAAUGGUCACUAAAUAGUCUCCCAUAGCCAAAAUCCCACCCCCACUUUCUUUAGC
This is a non-coding RNA of Pelobates cultripes (western spadefoot toad), 587 nucleotides long. NCBI's taxonomy places the organism in Eukaryota, Metazoa, Chordata, Amphibia, Anura, Pelobatidae. The record is from the annotation of a GenBank genome assembly.